This is a long non-coding RNA of Acanthopagrus latus (yellowfin seabream), 456 nucleotides long. RefSeq lists it as uncharacterized. The transcript has 2 exons. The record is from RefSeq and is a predicted model, not a curated record. Lineage: Eukaryota; Metazoa; Chordata; Actinopteri; Spariformes; Sparidae.
CUGCUUGUUAUGGUGACCAAGUCAAGGGCUGCUAACUAUUAUAAAAACUCCAGCGUCUCUCCACUCCGACUUCCAGUGUUCCACCUAAGUAGCUCUCUGCCUGCCUGCCUGCCUGCUGACCAGCCAGGUCCUCCCUACCCCCCAGCCCCCCCAACAACCCCUCUGGGUUCUAAAUGAAUUCUGUUACAUCUCGACCACUGCCUCCGCUCUCCCUGCAUUUGGGUCAAGACAAAAAGACUCGACAUAACACAAAUGUAUUGAUCACUUUAAUAUAUUUUUUCACUUUUAAAGAUUCUUAAAAUACGAGGAUGAUACAGUCACAUCAGUGAGCACACAAUAUCUACAGCGUGACCACAUCCAGAAACAUCCUCAGAUAUUUACAACCACAAAGAAGAACAAAAAUAACAAAAAUUGCUUCAAGAGUCAAAAUCCUAUCAAAUAAAUAUUCAGUGGUUG